CCCUCCAAAUCGAUGUCCAGACACCUCCGGACCAGGAAAAAUCCCGAAACAGCCGGUCCCAAAGAGUCUCCGACGCCUCCCAGCCGAUUCCCCCCAGGAGCUAGUAACCGGGAAGUUCACUCCGCCGCCAUCUUGCCUCCCCCUCCUGAAAAGUCCCAAUUUAUAUCUUAUAGACCAGUCCUUUCCGUUACCUUCCCACCAAAUCGAUGUCCAGACACUUCCUGCCCUGAAAAAAUCCUGAAAAAGCCUGGUCCCGGAGAACCUCCAGCGGUGCCCAGCUGCCUCUUCCCAGGAGAGACGGCAAGGCAAGCUCACUCAGCCACCAUCUUGCCGGAAGUCCCCCCUUUUCAUCAGAUUAAAGCUGCCAUCUGAAGUUUGUCACUUAUCUAGCCUUGUCAUCUGAGCUCCAUUUUUGAUGAGACAAAUG
This 427-nucleotide long non-coding RNA is filed under the name Dasypus novemcinctus (nine-banded armadillo). RNAcentral describes it as "lncRNA (ENSDNOG00000050772.1)". The record is from RNAcentral. Lineage: Eukaryota; Metazoa; Chordata; Mammalia; Cingulata; Dasypodidae.